This 2082-nucleotide long non-coding RNA is filed under the name Fukomys damarensis (Damara mole-rat). Its description in RNAcentral is "lncRNA (ENSFDAG00000023838.1)". The record is from RNAcentral. Lineage: Eukaryota; Metazoa; Chordata; Mammalia; Rodentia; Bathyergidae.
GGGUGCUCAAGGCCACACGGGAGGCCAGCAGCAGAGAUGACACCACGACCCACUCCCCUCACCUCCCCAUUGGCACUGUGGGAGUGGCUGGGGCUGCCCACUGAAUGUGUCCACAUGGAGAGGCACCUGCAAGUCAGGCUACCGCUCCCAUUGUUUGGAAAACCAAACUGGUCCUGGCAGUGGAUUUGCCCCUGGGUUUGUUCCUACCAAUCCUUAAAUUCCAGGAAGCUGCCUUUACCCAGGAUGGAUUUAGCAGAGACAUGGAGUGGAUCACAGGACUGGCAAGCAUUUCCUCUGGAGCCAUGACUGCAUUUAGGAAGGAUGUUGACAGCAGUGUUCAGGGUCAAGCUGCAAAGACGGAAGGGAUGAAAGGAGAGUCCGGAGGCCUUGUUGCAAAUAGUCACCUGGGAGGCCAGACUCUAAGGUCUGCCAGACCAGAAGAACGGAACUCACCUGGAUCACUACCAAUCAGAGACCUCCACCUGGCAGCUCCACCUGGUUUUGGAUGGUUUCUCAGACCUUCGAAAUUAGGUGCCAGGAUCCAGGCCAAAGGACCGCCACCACCCUUCAGGCUGUGCCACACCCAAAGCAGAGAGAACGCAGCAAGGGUAGGACCAUGGGAUGACUCUAUCCUCUGCCCCCAGCAGUCGCAUCGCUUCCGUCCACAUCCCCAUUUCACUGACCGGUCAAGUUCAUGUCCUGGCUCCAUUCGCACAUGGAAGCCUCGUCUCUCCACAGCAUGGGGAACUGCCAGUUCCCAGCGAGACCCUCAUGCAAAAUGAGUCUCUUUCCAGGUGGAGCCAGUAACAGGAAGACAAUCCAGCACCUCCCACUCGAGGCAGGGUCUUCCCUGAAUCCAUCAGGACAUGCAGAUGGGUGGGAAACCAGAGGCAAAGAACAGAACCAUAGAGGAUGCAUCGCGAGCUUUGCAGUCCACUCAAGACAUAUACCCAGUCUGAUGGUCAAGGGCAAGGGAGAUAUUAACACUGGGCAAAUCGGUGGCCCCUGCAGAGCUGCCCUAUAAACUUGAAUGGAGCGAAGGUCCUGGAAGGAGAGAAAGGAUACUGGGGUCAGGCGGACAAAGGCGUCUUUCCUUGGAGGAAAUGGUCGAACAGCCAUCAGGCAAGCUCCUCCGGAUCUGCGCGUUCGCAUCGUCCCUUUGUUCUGGUUACUCCUCCUUUGGCCGAGUGUGUGCCAGCUUCCUUUCUCCCUCUUCACUCUGGGUUUUCCCUUCUAUUUCUGUGCUGUUAAAAUUACCCAAGACUUCCUGCACUGUUCGCUGACCCAUAUCCUUUUAGGAAAAUGAUGGCAUCUUUUUCUUUUGUGAGCCAAACUUGUAACAGAGGAAAAGGCAUUUCUCACCUGAUUUUACCCAGAAAGAAACUGGCAGCCCACACUUAUGAAGUGGCUCAGUCAUCUUGUCGCAUCAGGAGAGUGUCCCCAGGGCUCAGCACACCUUCUGCCCUCAGCAAAUGUCCUUGCCCACCAGGUAUGACAUUCAGCUGGCUAUGGCCAGGGUCUAACUCAAGAUGUCGCAGGUCCCAGUUCUCACUAUGGUUGGGGUCCCCCAGUACCGGCCCCUGUUCCCUACCCUAGUCCUGCCACCAUGGGAAGCCAGAACAGGCACUGCACUGAAUGACUGAGUCCAAAUCGUUCUCCACUUCCUAAUUCCAACAGUUAGGGAAAAGAUCCAACAUCAAAUUCUCUACAACCCUGGCCACUGUCACACCUUGUGCCACAUUUGACCUGGCUCAGGAGACUCCUUGGGCCAGAUUCAGCAAAACAAGCUUCCAAGGUGCAGACAUGCAAGGUAGCUGCUUAUGCAGGCAAGUGAGCUUUUGCUGGUGUGGCCUCCUGAAAGCGUUGACAAUUUCAUCUCUCUGCGCUCACAUCGGGGAAGUCUUCUAUAUUACCAAGAUAAUACUGCAUUAAGCGAGAUUUUGUAUUUGGUGUAUUUAAUGAGCAAGCAACUCCCCAAAGACCUUUCAAUAAAGCCAGUAAAUUUAACAGGAGAAACGCGUCAAUUGGCUUUGCUGCUCUGGUUAAGAGGGCUGCCGCUUUCUGCUUUUACAGACCCUGGCG